UUGAUUUUAGUUAUUUGUGAACGUACUACGAACAACAAAAAAUAUUAUAGUCAAAAAAAAAUUAAAUCA
Molecule: unclassified non-coding RNA, 69 nt
Filed under: soil metagenome
Description: partial internal transcribed spacer 1
Source: RNAcentral